UUACAUCACCAGUCAUCUAUGUGAUAGAGUGUGGUCGGAGCCAGAGAUCAUUUCGUGGCCAGGCUCCCAGUGGGACAUCCUCCAAAACCUUGUGGCUAAUACACGUUCGCCCAGGUCGGCCGUGGGAACGUCUGUCUCGACAACCGAGAGUGCGCCUUCGGGUGGCUCCGUCGACCCUCGCAGUCGACGGCCGAUUGCGCCCAGCCGAUCGAAAGAUCAGCGCCCCAUCACAGUCAGGGGCAGCGUUCCUGGUGGCUGACUCAGGCUGGUCCCCCUUCCACAGUCAUAUCUCGUGGGGACGGUCGCUCUGGCAGAGUUUGUGGCGGUGUCCCUUCGCGGACCCGCCUGUGGCAUUGCUUGAUCACACGAACUUCUGACCUAUCAGCUGGGAUUGUGGUGUAGUGGACCACAAUGGCGGUGACGGGUAACGGAGAAUCAGGGUUCGAUUCCGGAGAGGGAGCCUGAGAAAUGGCUACCACUGCCAAGGCGGGCAGCAGGCACGCAAAUUGCCCAAUGGAGAAACACAGUCCGAGGCAGCGACGAACCGUAGCAAUCCUGCUGGGAUUCUUCCCCAGUGGGACUUGGAAUGGAUGCAAUCCAAACACAGUGAUGAGUAUCAACUGGAGGGCAAGUCUGGUGCCAGCAGCUGCGGUAAUUCCAGCUCCAAGCGCGUAUACUAAUGUUGCUGCUGUUAAAACACCUGUAGUCUGACACUGGGUUCAGGUCUGCCGGGCGGCCGGCCGUCCCCACCAGGGGUUGUGGUGUUGUGGCAGGGGCACCAACAAGGGGGGUCCUCCGGGACCCUUCGCCCAGGCCCUUCGCUGCUCCCCCCCAAGGGACGUCGCCGGACAAAACCCCCGGUGGUAUGCUCCUGCGCCCGCAUGUUUCAAAGGACGGUGCGAGUCGCUCCUGCCAAAAGUCCCCUUCACUGGGGGCCAAGGUGGCCCAGUGCCCCAACCGCAGGCAUGGGGACCCACUGGGGUCGGACCCUCGCGUGUCCGGCACUCCCCAGCCCCGCCCCCGGAGCCCACCGUGUCGACACCGUGGAUAACUCAGUGUGCUCAAAGCGUCCUCCUGAUGGCUGAAUGUUCCGCCCAUGGCAUGUCGCCGCAUCGACCAACCGUGAAUCAAAUGGCAACAGAGUUGUGCUGGUCUUGGAGCCCGGUCUGGGCAAGGUGGUGCAUGGCUCCGCCCCGUUCCCUGACGGGGCCUUUCGGCUUCUCCUCCCAGGGCGACCGCAGCCAGCCCCACAGGUGUCCGUCGGGCAGAGCAGGGCGAGGGCGCACACAGCAACACCUCCGGGUGCUCUGCCUGUCGUCGUCCCUUCUCCCCUCCGCUCGCCCUCCUGUGGGCGCCCUGCGGGAGCGCUGCGUGUUCGGUGGCUUCGUUUGGCUUUCCCCGGGCUCGGCGGGGUGUGCAUCGAUCGUCGACGAUGGGACCGCUCAGGGUGAAGGAUAUUACAGCGCCAGAGGUGAAAUUCUUAGACCGCUGCAAGAUCGACUGCAGCGAAGGCGCUUGGCAAGUGCGUGUUCGUUCGAUCAAGGAUGAGAGUUCGGGGAGCAAAGAUGAUCAGACACCAUCGUAGUCCGCACCGUAAACGGUGCCAGCUAGGCCUUGGCGGGGAAAAUCAAAGGACCCCGCCAGGGCCAGGCCCCCUACAUCGAGAAAUCCACAGCCUGUGGGUUCAGGGGGGAGUACGUUCGCAAGGCUGAAACUUAAAGGAAUUGACGGAAUGGCACCACAAGGCGUGGAGUAUGCGGCUUAAUUUGACUCAACACGGGGAAUGUUACCAGGUCAGGACGCAGCCUGGAUGGACAGAUUGAGAGCUCUUUCUUGAUCCUGUGGAUGGUGGUGCAUGGCCGCUCCUGAUUGGUGGAGUGAUUUGUCUGGUUGAUUCCGAUAACGAAUGAGAUAUCUGCCUUCCAGUAGCCCCGGGCUCGUAUCCGGUAGGGCCCCGGCCCUCGUCGCGCCCUCCCCCAGUGCCCCCCCAUCCUGGCCCCCCUCGCGGGGUCUGCGGUGGUGGGGGAGGAGGGGGACCCAGGGCGCCCUGGGCCGGCCCGAGAGCCUCCCUUGGGUCCAGCUUCUCUGAGGUGCUGUGUACGCUUCCAAAGUGCACGUAUGCUAGAGCCAACAGCAGGUCUGUGAUGCUCCCAGAUGUCCUGGGCCGCACGCGCACUACAUUGAUCCAGUGAGGGUGAGGUCUGCCCGACCCCGUUCGGGCCCUGGUCGGAGACGACUGGGAAACCCUGCAAGCCUGGAUCGUACUGGGGAUAGAUGAUUGCAACUGUCUGCCUUGAACGUGGAAUGCCUAGUAAGGGUUGGUCAUCAGCCAACCCUGAUUGUGUCCCUGCC
Molecule: ribosomal RNA, 2352 nt
Filed under: Euglena cantabrica
Lineage: Eukaryota; Euglenozoa; Euglenophyceae; Euglenales; Euglenaceae
Description: bacterial SSU rRNA
Rfam family: Eukaryotic small subunit ribosomal RNA
Source: RNAcentral